RNAcentral lists this ribosomal RNA (495 nucleotides) under uncultured bacterium. Its description in RNAcentral is "partial 16S ribosomal RNA". It matches the Rfam family "Bacterial small subunit ribosomal RNA", at positions 28 to 507 of the family's 1533-position model. The record is from RNAcentral.
GACGAACGCUGGCGGCGUGCCUAAUACAUGCAAGUAGAACGCUGAAGGAGGAGCUUGCUCUUCUGGAUGAGUUGCGAACGGGUGAGUAACGCGUAGGUAACCUGCCUGGUAGCGGGGGAUAACUAUUGGAAACGAUAGCUAAUACCGCAUAACAGUAGAUGUUGCAUGACAUUUGCUUAAAAGGUGCAAUUGCACCACUACCAGAUGGACCUGCGUUGUAUUAGCUAGUUGGUGGGGUAACGGCUCACCAAGGCGACGAUACAUAGCCGACCUGUGAGGGUGAUCGGCCACACUGGGACUGAGACACGGCCCAGACUCCUACGGGAGGCAGCAGUAGGGAAUCUUCGGCAAUGGACGGAAGUCUGACCGGGCAACGCCGCGUGAGUGAAGAAGGUUUUCGGAUCGUAAAGCUCUGUUGUAAGAGAAGAACGAGUGUGAGAGUGGAAAGUUCACACUGUGACGGUAUCUUACCAGAAAGGGACGGCUAACUACGUG